Molecule: long non-coding RNA, 664 nt
Organism: Canis lupus familiaris (dog)
Lineage: Eukaryota; Metazoa; Chordata; Mammalia; Carnivora; Canidae
Exons: 3
Source: RefSeq, a predicted model, not a curated record
UCAGUGCUGUAUUCACUGGCUAGGUUCUCCAAGAGCUUGAGCAGUUUUCCUUUGAAAGAAUUGGGAAAAUAUCUCUUUUUAUAUUCUCUCUAGGUUUAUUUUAUACUCCUAUUUUAGGGGAUACCGUUUGCCACCCCCUCCCCCACCCCUGCCCCGCAUUAUGACCCUGUCAGUACCUACCCAAGGCAGCCAAUCCUCACCUCCACUCUAGAGGUCACUGUUGCUGGUUUUAUUCGCACGGUUUUAAUAUGGUCACAGAAAAUGUUCUUCCUCACGAACCCUGGCACUGCAGGACGGGAGCAGAGCUGAUGAGGAAAGAACAGCUCCAGCCCUCUCCCUACCCCUCCAAACUCUACAGGAAUUUUCCCUUCCUGAUAAUCCUUUUGUUUGUUUGUUUGUUUUUAAUCUCAAACCAUAAUAUAGUUUUCAUGGUUUUCUACAACAAUGGUAUAGAAAGAUAUGAAGAAAAAUGAAUAUCCCCACAGCUAGAUCAUUUUAUGAGCAAUUUACAAUUUAAAAUUUAAGAAAUCAAGAUUUCAAAUUUGUCAGGAGCUUGUUAAAAUUCACAACAGAAAAAAAUAAGUACUUGUCACCCAAAAUAAUUUAAUUAAAUAAUUAAAUAAUGAUUUAGGUAUCACUUAAAAUUUAUAAUUAAAAACUAAAA